AUUGAACGCUGGCGGCAUGCUUUACACAUGCAAGUCGAACGGUAACAGGUUAAGCUGACGAGUGGCGAACGGGUGAGUAAUGCAUCGGAACGUGCCCGAUCGUGGGGGAUAACACUUCGAAAGAAGUGCUAAUACCGCAUACGAUCUGAGGAUGAAAGCGGGGGACCGUAAGGCCUCGCGCGAUCGGAUCGGCCGAUGUCAGAUUAGGUAGUUGGUGGGGUAAAGGCUCACCAAGCCGACGAUCUGUAGCUGGUCUGAGAGGACGACCAGCCACACUGGGACUGGGAAACGGCCCAGACUCCUACGGGAGGCAGCAGUGGGGAACUUUGGACAAUGGGCGCAAGCCUGAUCCAGCAAUGCCGCGUGCAGGAAGAAGGCCUUCGGGUUGUAAACUGCUUUUGUACGGAGCGAAAAGGCUCCCUCUAAUACAGGGGGCUCAUAUCCCCGGCUAAUGACGGUACCUGAAGAAUAAGCACCGGCUAACUACGUGCCAGCCGCCGCGGUAA
RNAcentral lists this ribosomal RNA (506 nucleotides) under uncultured bacterium. Its description in RNAcentral is "partial 16S ribosomal RNA". It matches the Rfam family "Bacterial small subunit ribosomal RNA", at positions 30 to 523 of the family's 1533-position model. The record is from RNAcentral.